Molecule: long non-coding RNA, 1738 nt
Organism: Aedes albopictus (Asian tiger mosquito)
Lineage: Eukaryota; Metazoa; Arthropoda; Insecta; Diptera; Culicidae
Exons: 3
Source: RefSeq, a predicted model, not a curated record
ACUGUCAAACGCCCGAAAAAUCAGCUGAUUUAAGACGUCACAUGAAAAGGCCUAUUCCCGGAACGUAAAAAAGAAAGAUUUGGAGUGAAAAAGUAAAAACGGUGCAUUCCGGAGUAUCGAUCAACAAAUCUCCGUCGUCCGCGGAUACACGGCUGUCGCUGGCGUUUCAAUUUGUAUCAGGAAAACAAUGUUUUGUGCGUCUGAUCGAGCCGGAAGUGUUUGAUGGAAACCAUCAGAGCUUGAAUGCUGGUACGCCGACCCAUGCGUGGUUAGACGAGACGGAGCAAACUUCCGAUGGCGGUCUGCUGAUGCAGAUUGUCCAGGUGUUGAGUAUUUUCGUGUUAAUUCCAGGAAGUGAUCUGCUCAAACAUCGGAGAAAAUCAACAACACAGCAGCAAGUUUCGUCUGGAAAUAACUCUCAUAGGCAUCCCCCUCCUGGCCACCUACAGCAUUGAACUAGUUUAAAAAACAUCCUUAUUUUACUGUUAUUAUUAUUUUUAUAACCAAUAAAAUCAACCUUAGGGGUGGGGGUGUUUUGUUGGGCUGUAUAAAAAAAUCCGAAAAUUCACGGGUAGGUUUUACUAUGUUAAAACUAUCAAAAAGCGGGUAAGUGAUUAAUGUAUCUAUUUUUAAAGUAUGAAGCUUCGAUGUGAUGCAGUAAUGUCUAUUUUUUAAUCAUACACUUUCGCCUACUAAUUUGUAAUAGUGCAUACGUAAUUUUGAUCACCUGGUUCACCAAGUUCUCUCAGUUGCGAGGUGACCCAUUGUUAUUAUUGUGACGCAUUGCAAGUCCACUAAUCAUAUUCUUCUUCCUAAAACUUUGAAACAGUUCGUAAGUGAUUCCAUCGUUUAACCACAUAAUCAAAUUUGGUUCACCAAGUUAUGAGGUGACUAGUAUUCACCAAGUUCUCUCAGUUGCGAGGUGACGCAUUACUAGAUUCUUCCUUCUAAAACUUUGAAACGGUUCAUAAGUGAUUCUUUCGUUUAAUUACAUAAUUAAAUCUGGUUCACCAAGUUCUCCCAAGUUACGAGGUGACUAGUAUUCACCAAGUUCUCUCAGUUGCGAGGUGACGCAUUACUAGGUUCUUCCUCCUAAAACAUUGAAACGGUUCUUUAGUAAUUCUUUCGUUUAAUUACAUAAUUAAAUUUGGUUCACCAAGUUCUCCCAAAUUACGAGGUGACUAGUAUUCACCAAGUUCUCUCAGUUGCGAGGUGACGCAUUGCUAGAUUCUUCCUUCUAAAACUUUGAAACGGUUCAUAAGUGAGUGAUUCUAUCAUUUAGUCACAUAAUCAAAUUUGGUUCACCAAGUUCUCCCAACUGACGAGGUGACUAGUAAUCACCAAGUUCUCUCAGUUGCGAGGUGACGCAUUACUAGAUUGUUCCUCCUAAAACUUUGAAACGGUUCAUAAGUGAUUCUAUCAUUUAAUCACAUGAUCAAAUUUGGUUCACCAAGUUCUCCCAAGUUACGAGGUGACUACCCAACAAACAUAUUUGUUGCACAAGAAUGGAAUAAAGCACUCUUAAGCAAACUUUAGCUUAAGAAACUGUUAUUCAGCUAGUUCUGUUACUUGGGUAGUAUUCACCAAGUUCUCUCAGUUGCGAGGUGACGCAUUACUAGACUGUUCCUCCUAAAACUUUGAAGCGGUUCAUAAGUGAUUCCAUCGUUUAAUUACAUAACUAAAUUUGAUUCACCAAGUUCUCCCAAGUUACGAGGUGACUAGUAUUCACCAAGUUCCC